Molecule: ribosomal RNA, 113 nt
Filed under: Apis mellifera (honey bee)
Lineage: Eukaryota; Metazoa; Arthropoda; Insecta; Hymenoptera; Apidae
Source: RNAcentral
ACCAACGAUUGUAUCACGUAAGAUUUACUGGGAUCUCGUUCGAUCACCAAAGUCAAGCACAGUCAGUAUUACUUGGAUGGGCGACUGCUUGAGAAUACCGUGAGUUGUUGGUA